CUCUAUACGGAGUUACAAAGGACGACAUUAGACGAAUCAUCUGGAAAGAUGAAUCAAAGAAGGUAAUAAUCCUGUAGUCGAAAAUGUUGUCUCUCUUGAGUGGAUCCUGAGUACGACGGAGCACGUGAAAUUCCGUCGGAAUCUGGGAGGACCAUCUCCUAAGGCUAAAUACUCUCUAGUGACCGAUAGUGAACCAGUACCGUGAGGGAAAGGUGAAAAGCACCCCGGAAGGGGAGUGAAAUAGAACCUGAAACCGUGUGCUUACAAGUAGUCAGAGCCCGUUAAUGGGUGAUGGCGUGCCUUUUGUAGAAUGAACCGGCGAGUUACGAUUUGAUGCAAGGUUAAGCAGUAAAUGUGGAGCCGUAGCGAAAGCGAGUCUGAAUAGGGCGUUUAGUAUUUGGUCGUAGACCCGAAACCAGGUGAUCUACCCUUGGUCAGGUUGAAGUUCAGGUAACACUGAAUGGAGGACCGAACCGACUUACGUUGAAAAGUGAGCGGAUGAACUGAGGGUAGCGGAGAAAUUCCAAUCGAACCUGGAGAUAGCUGGUUCUCUCCGAAAUAGCUUUAGGGCUAGCCUCAAGUGAUGAUUAUUGGAGGUAGAGCACUGUUUGGACGAGGGGCCCCUCUCGGGUUACCGAAUUCAGACAAACUCCGAAUGCCAAUUAAUUUAACUUGGGAGUCAGAACAUGGGUGAUAAGGUCCGUGUUCGAAAGGGAAACAGCCCAGACCACCAGCUAAGGUCCCAAAAUAUAUGUUAAGUGGAAAAGGAUGUGGCGUUGCCCAGACAACUAGGAUGUUGGCUUAGAAGCAGCCAUCAUUUAAAGAGUGCGUAAUAGCUCACUAGUCGAGUGACACUGCGCCGAAAAUGUACCGGGGCUAAACAUAUUACCGAAGCUGUGGAUUGUCCUUUGGACAAUGGUAGGAGAGCGUUCUAAGGGCGUUGAAGCAUGAUCGUAAGGACAUGUGGAGCGCUUAGAAGUGAGAAUGCCGGUGUGAGUAGCGAAAGACGGGUGAGAAUCCCGUCCACCGAUUGACUAAGGUUUCCAGAGGAAGGCUCGUCCGCUCUGGGUUAGUCGGGUCCUAAGCUGAGGCCGACAGGCGUAGGCGAUGGAUAACAGGUUGAUAUUCCUGUACCACCUAUAAUCGUUUUAAUCGAUGGGGGGACGCAGUAGGAUAGGCGAAGCGUGCGAUUGGAUUGCACGUCUAAGCAGUAAGGCUGAGUAUUAGGCAAAUCCGGUACUCGUUAAGGCUGAGC
Molecule: ribosomal RNA, 1255 nt
Filed under: Staphylococcus aureus
Lineage: Bacteria; Bacillati; Bacillota; Bacilli; Caryophanales; Staphylococcaceae
Description: partial 23S ribosomal RNA
Rfam family: Bacterial large subunit ribosomal RNA
Source: RNAcentral